CGCUGGCGGCGUGCUUAACACAUGCAAGUCGAACGGUGAAGCCAAGCUUGCUUGGUGGAUCAGUGGCGAACGGGUGAGUAACACGUGAGCAACCUGCCCUGGACUCUGGGAUAAGCGCUGGAAACGGCGUCUAAUACUGGAUAUGAGACGUGAUCGCAUGGUCGUGUUUGGAAAGAUUUUUCGGUCUGGGAUGGGCUCGCGGCCUAUCAGCUUGUUGGUGAGGUAAUGGCUCACCAAGGCGUCGACGGGUAGCCGGCCUGAGAGGGUGACCGGCCACACUGGGACUGAGACACGGCCCAGACUCCUACGGGAGGCAGCAGUGGGGAAUAUUGCACAAUGGGCGAAAGCCUGAUGCAGCAACGCCGCGUGAGGGAUGACGGCCUUCGGGUUGUAAACCUCUUUUAGCAGGGAAGAAGCGAAAGUGACGGUACCUGCAGAAAAAGCGCCGGCUAACUACGUGCCAGCAGCCGCGGUAAUACGUAGGGCGCAAGCGUUAUCCGGAAUUAUUGGGCGUAAAGAGCUCGUAGGCGGUUUGUCGCGUCUGCUGUGAAAUCCCGAGGCUCAACCUCGGGCCUGCAGUGGGUACGGGCAGACUAGAGUGCGGUAGGGGAGAUUGGAAUUCCUGGUGUAGCGGUGGAAUGCGCAGAUAUCAGGAGGAACACCGAUGGCGAAGGCAGAUCUCUGGGCCGUAACUGACGCUGAGGAGCGAAAGGGUGGGGAGCAAACAGGCUUAGAUACCCUGGUAGUCCACCCCGUAAACGUUGGGAACUAGUUGUGGGGACCAUUCCACGGUUUCCGUGACGCAGCUAACGCAUUAAGUUCCCCGCCUGGGGAGUACGGCCGCAAGGCUAAAACUCAAAGGAAUUGACGGGGACCCGCACAAGCGGCGGAGCAUGCGGAUUAAUUCGAUGCAACGCGAAGAACCUUACCAAGGCUUGACAUAUACGAGAACGGGCCAGAAAUGGUCAACUCUUUGGACACUCGUAAACAGGUGGUGCAUGGUUGUCGUCAGCUCG
RNAcentral lists this ribosomal RNA (1016 nucleotides) under Microbacterium testaceum. RNAcentral describes it as "bacterial SSU rRNA". It matches the Rfam family "Bacterial small subunit ribosomal RNA", at positions 34 to 1062 of the family's 1533-position model. Lineage: Bacteria; Bacillati; Actinomycetota; Actinomycetes; Micrococcales; Microbacteriaceae. The record is from RNAcentral.